CCCUUAGACGUUCUGGGCCGCACGCGCGCUACACUGACCAGUGCAACAAGCAUCCGUCCUUGGCCGACAGGCUCGGGCAAUCUUUGAACGCUGGUCGUGAUGGGGAUAGACUUUUGCAAUUUUUGGUCUUCAACGAGGAAUUCCUAGUAAACGCAAGUCAUCAACUUGCAUUGAUUACGUCCCUGCCCUUUGUACACACUGCCCGUCGCACCUACCGAUUGAAUGGUCCGGUGAAGCCUCCGGAUUGGCGCGCACCUCGGUGCCGCCGAGAAGUUGGCUAAACCUUACCAUUUAGAGGAAGGUGAAGUCGUAACA
Molecule: ribosomal RNA, 315 nt
Filed under: uncultured eukaryote
Lineage: Eukaryota
Description: partial 18S ribosomal RNA
Rfam family: Eukaryotic small subunit ribosomal RNA
Source: RNAcentral